AUCCAUUUCCCAUAAUGCAUUCUCAGGGACAAUCCCCAAGGAGAUUGGAAAUCUUAAGGAUCUCAAAUUUCUUUCCUUUGGAACAAAUAAUUUUUCCGGAACAUUCCCUCCAGAACUUGGCAACUUAAUCAAGCUUGAGCAACUUUACUUAGACAGUUCUGGGGUGGGUGGUGAGAUUCCUUCCACAUUCGCUAACCUUCGAAACAUGCAAAUUAUGUA
Molecule: long non-coding RNA, 219 nt
Organism: Ziziphus jujuba (common jujube)
Lineage: Eukaryota; Viridiplantae; Streptophyta; Magnoliopsida; Rosales; Rhamnaceae
Exons: 3
Source: RefSeq, a predicted model, not a curated record